AGCUUUAUGAAUCCGUGCCGAGACUUCAUCAGACACCAGGUCAUCAAGACUGGUGAUAAUCCAAAGAUAAGUGAGGUG
Molecule: non-coding RNA, 78 nt
Organism: Schistosoma haematobium
Lineage: Eukaryota; Metazoa; Platyhelminthes; Trematoda; Strigeidida; Schistosomatidae
Source: Rfam